RNAcentral lists this unclassified non-coding RNA (144 nucleotides) under uncultured Pleosporales. RNAcentral's name for it is "sequence contains ITS2". The record is from RNAcentral. Lineage: Eukaryota; Fungi; Ascomycota; Dothideomycetes; Pleosporales.
ACACCUUCGAGCCCUGCUCGGUGUUGGGUGUCUGUCUGUCCUGCAGACUCACCUCAAAUCCAUUGGCGGUGGCCCGCCUAGCUUCCUGUGCAGCGCAUGCAACUUGCGAGCUAUCGCGGGCCCACAUCCACCAAGAUCAUCGCG